CAGGUUGGAGGAACAGGGACAGACAGUCUUGGCCGAGCUGAUUUCUUUCUCAGAAAAGUAAGUAGUCGAUUGCUAAAAGUUUUUACGAAGCUGGCGACGUGUGGGUAUUCCCAGGUGUUUAACUGUGUUUUGGAAAAUGGAGGAUGCAUGCUUUUGAGGAAGUAAAUGCACUUGGCUUUUCUUCCUCUUUACAAGAAUCUCCGACAUUUAAAUAAAUUCAAAUUUAAAUUUAAAUUUAAACUUGUCUAUUCAAGUUUCAAUAUAGGUUUUUGUUUUUGUUUUGGAGAGAGGAGGUGGAUUAAGGUAAUGUAGUUUACUUUUUUAAAUUGGAUUUAUUGGGGUAUAAUUUACAUAGAGCAAAAAUAAAAAUCACCCUUUGAAUCCUACAGUUCUUUGAAUCUUAACAAAUGUUUGCCGUUGUAUCAUUCAAGACUUAGAACAAUUCCAUCAAAACAAAAAACUUCCCGGGGCGCCUGGGUGGCUCAGUCGGUGAAGCGUCUGACUUCGGCUCAGGUCACGAUCUCGCGGUAUGUGAGUUCGAGCCCCGCGUCGGGCUCUGUGCUGACUGCUCAGAGCCUGGAGCCUGUUUCAGAUUCUGUGUCUCCCUCUCUCUGACCCUCCCCAUUCAUGCUCUGUCUCUCUCUGUCUCAAAAAUAAAUAAAUGUUAAAGAAAAAAAAAAUUAAAAACAAAAAAAACAAAAAACUUCCCUUCUGCCUCUCUGUAGUCAUCCCUUUCUCCAUCCCUAACUCUUGGCAACCAUUGAUCUGAUUUCUGUCUCUACAGUUUUGGCUUUUCCAGAAUAUGGUGUAAAUGGAAUUAUGCAUUUGGUAUCUUUUUGGGUUUGGUUUCUUCUGGGGUUUACCCAUAUUGUGUGUGUCAGUGUGUGUGAGUAUAGCUUAACAAUUCCUUUCUAUUGCUGAAUUGUAUUCUCAGUAUCAACAUACCAAGAUUUGUUUGUUCACCAGUUAAUGGGCAUUUGGAUUGUUUCCACUUUUUGGCUAUUAUGCAUAAUUAUGCUAUGAACAUUUGUGCACAGGUUUUUGUAUGAACGUAUGUAGUCAUUUCUCUUGGGUAAAUACAUAGGAGUAGAAAGCCUGGGUCACAUGGUAACCGUAGAAACUUUUGAAGAAACUGCCAAACUGUUUUCCAAAGUUGUGCAACCACUAACACUGUCCAAUUCCAGAUCAUUUUCUUCUCCCUGCAAAGAAACUCCAUAACCAUUAGCAGUUACAUCCCAUUCUCUCCUCCCCCUAGACCCUGGUAGCCACUCAUCUAAUUUAUGUCUCUAUAGAUGUGCCUGUUCUGGACAUUUCAUGUAAAUGGAAUCAUAUAGUAUGCAGGGUUUUUUGUUUGUUUCUUGUUUCUUUUACUUAACAUAAUGUAUUCGAGAUUCAUGUCUGUUGGAGCACGUAUCACUCCUUUUUCGUGGUUGAAUAAUAUUCCACUCUAUGGGUAAACCCCACUUUGUUUAUCUACUUAUCAGUUGAUGGACGCUUGGGUUGUUUUCACUUUUUGGCUAUUAUGCACAACGUUGUUCUGAACAUUUGUGUACAUGUUUUUGUGUGGAUGUACGUUUUCAUUUUGAGGGUAUCUAGCUGGUAUGAAAUUGGUGGGACAUAUGGUAAUUCUAUGUUUGCCUUUUGAGACAUUGCCAAUUGUUUUCCAAAGUAGCUGCUUCAUUUACAUUCCCACCGACAGUGUACGAGGGUUCCAGUUUCUCCACAUCAUCUCCAGCACUGGUUUUUGUCUUUCCUUUUGAUUUUAGCUCUCCUAGUGGGUAUGAAGUGGUACUUCAUUGUGGCUUUAAUCUAUCUUUCCCUAAUGCCUAGUGAUGAUAAGCAUCUUUUCAUGUCUUCUUGGCAGUUUGUAUGUCUUCUUUGGAGACAUGUCUAUUCAAAUACUGGGCUCUUUAAAAAACUGUGUUAUCUGUCUUUUCAUUAUUAAGUUAUGAGUCCAAAGGUGGGAGUUUUGAAUAUGGAAAAAGUUAUACACUUUUCAUUUGACGGUUUGAGCUUUUUGUGUCCUAUAGAAUCAAUAUUUGCCUGACCUGAGGUUGUAAAGAUUUUUCUCCUAUUUUGUUUUUUUUUCCCUAAAAGCUGUAUAGUUGUUGGUUUUACAUUCGGGUCUAUGAUCCAUUCAAGUUGAAUUUUGUAUAUGAUUCAAAGUACACAUCAAGGUUCAUCUUUAAAAAUAUAUAAAUAUAAAUGAAAAAAUAUAUAAUUGUUUUAGCACUAUUUGUUGAAAAUAUUCUCCAUUGACUGUUGAUUUACCAUGACAUCUUUUUCCACACACUAUCAUUGGUAUAGGUCUCUCUAUAUACCGAUAUCACAGUGUCUUAGUUAUUGUAGCUCUUAUGGUAAAUCUUAAAAUUAGGUUGUGUUAUUCCUCCAACUUUGUUCUUCUUUAUCCAAGUUGUUUUAUGUACUCUAGGUCCUUUGUUUUUAUGUACAAAUUUUAGAAUCAGCUUGUUAAUUUCUUUUUUUUUUUUUUAAAGCCUCCUAGGGUUUUGCAUUGAAUGUCAAGAUCAAUUUGGAGAGAACUGACAAUUUAACAAUAUUGAGUUUUCUGAUUUAUGCGUAUCUCUUUGAAGAGAUAAUGUUUAGAAAGUCUCAUUGUUUUGCUCAGUUCCUAUAUGUUUGUUGCUCAUGAUUGACAAUUAGUCUAAGUCCAAAGUGACCGUUCCCCUCUUCUUGCCAAGGUUGGUUCAGGAAUGGGCUUGUGACUGAGUUCUGGCCAAUAGGCCGGAGGAAGAGUUCUGGGAAAGAUAUUUCUGUCCUAAGAAGACUCCGGAAGAGAGGCCCUUUUCUUUCUCUGCAUGUUGUAAUGUCUAGAUAUGACAGCAGGAAUUGUUGCGGUCAUCUGUGAGGGGAAUCAGAACGAGGGCAAACAGUCAGCCUGCAGAAGAUGACAAAUCGAAAAGACAGAGAGGCCCUAGACCUUGAUGAUUGCGCGAAGCCAGGGAAAUAAUCAACCUUGGAGCCUAGGAGAAAAAGAUUUGCAUGACAGCUCAAGUCCAUAAGAGUUGGGGUUUUCUGUUAUGUGUAGCAGGAAUCAUCUUAUCUAACAUGUCUAGUCUUAUCAGCUGCAACACAUUUCUGAAAAAUCACAGGCUAUAGAUUUUCCACUUAAAAAUAUUUUUAGUUUAUGUUCCCACUGUUUAUUUAAAAUGUGCACAUUGUUUUUUAUUUAUUUUUAUUUUUAUGUAUUAACAAUUUUUUUAAUGUUUACUUAUUUUUGAAAGACAGAGACAGAGUGCGAGUGGGGGAGGGGCAGAGAGAGAGAGAGAGAGAGAGAGACCCAAUCCAAAGCAGGCUCCAGGCUCCCAGCUGUCAACACAGAGCCUGAUGUGGGGCUCGAACUCCCGAGCCGUGAGAUCAUGACCUGAGCCAAAGUCAGAUGCUUAACUGACUGAGCCACCCAGGGGCCCCUGCAUGUUGCUUUUUUUAAAUUUACGAAUUCAAUAUAUGAAUUUAGUCUCAUUGUAAAGAUACAAACUAUACACACCUGAUUAAUAUAAAAAGUCAAAGUUUUCCUCCAGCCUUCCCUUUCCCCCAAGCUAACCCAAUACCCUUUCUGGAAAAUAACCAUUAUUGUCAGUGUGUUGUGCAUCCUUCUGGAUCUUUUUCUAUGAGUGAAAGGGACAUAUAUCAGUAUAUGUUAAAAACAUAACUUAUUUGGAUAUUUAGAGGCACAGGUGAAUGAAUAUUUAAAUUUGCAAGGGCUUUUUAAAAAACAGAAGAACUUUUGCCUUAGGUGUAUUGAAAUUAUUCUAAAUAUUUUUCCUUUUAUGGGAAAAACAUAUUGAGAUACACGUUAUAUAUUAUAGCUCACAAUCCAGUAGAGAGUCCUGCAAUAAUUUUCUGGCAACCUUUAAAAAAAGAUAAAAAUGUUUAUCUGAAAAGAAAUAUACUGAUGCCAUUGAAUGCUGGUCGAUGGUAGUUAUAAAGUACACACUCAGCGUGGACGACACAGCCAGUGUUGUUAAAAUUACACUCUUCCACCUGUUGUGAUGGUUGUUCUGUUGCCUCCAGUACACUUUUCUUCCACCCGUAAAGUCUAGGGCUGUGACUUUAAGUGAAGGGGCUAGUAAAAAAAAAAAAAAAGUGUUUCACCAUGUUGGAUAACAUGACUGCAUGAGUCAGAGCUACCUGGACUAAAAAACUAAAGUCAAUAUUGAAAGAAAUGUUCAUUAUUUCCUCCCAAACUCCUGCAAUCCCAUUCCCUGAAUUAAUUACCAUUAAUAAUUUUCUUUAUCUUCUUUUAUGCUGGUGUGUGUGUGCGUGCUGGGAUGUGUGUGUGCGUGUAGAAUGGAGUCAUAUGUUACUCUUUAAGUUAGGAUACAGGUUUGAAUCCAUAAUAAAGCCCCAAAAUAACAGUGGCUCUCACAGGAGAGAAGUUUAUUUCUUGCUCAUGAAAGAGUCCAGUUAUAAGCAGUCUAGGAGGUAUGGACUUGUCACAGUGUCAGUGACACAGGGUCCUUCUGGCUUGUGCUGUCAUCACCAGGUAUCUUGCUCACCUACAAGAUUACCACCAUUUCUUCACUCCCACACAAGGAGGGAGUGAAAAUCCAGGGGAAGGCAUUUCCCUUUAAAGAGCACAACCAGGAAGUUGCACAUAACCGCUCUCAUCCCACUGGCUAUCCUUUAAUCACAAACCACAUCUCACUGCAGGGGAGGCCGGGGAGAAGCAGUCAGGGCUGGAAGGGUCCAGACAACUCCAGGCUGCCUCCCUUCGGCUCAGUCUCGGGCGUCCCGAGCAUUGGUUUGUUGCUGCUGUGACUUCUCUGGUUAGAGAAUGACACAGAAAGGGCAGGAAAAAAGUAAAAUGAAAAGAUUGAUCGACUUAAUUAAAAUUCAAAACUUCAGAACGGUGAAAAAUACUGUGUGCAAAUUAAAGGGCACGUGGCGGCGUGCCGUGAAAAUGAUUCGCAACAUGUAUAAUACGCAGGUGCGUAAUAAUCUUACAUAUUAACAAGUGUUGCAAAUCUGUAAGAAGUCAGUGCUUCAAUUAAAAAUGGGCAAAGGGGGGCGCCUGGGUGGUGCAGUCGGUUAAGCGUCCGACUUCAGCCAGGUCACGAUCUCGCGGUCCGUGAGUUCGAGCCCCGCGUCGGGCUCUGGGCUGAUGGCUCAGAGCCUGGAGCCUGUUUCCGAUGCUGUGUCUCCCUCUCUCUCUGCCCAUCCCCCGUUCAUGCUCUGUCUCUCUCUGUCCCAAAAAUAAGUAAAAAAACGUUGAAAAAAAAAUUUAUAAAAAAAAAAAUGGGCAAAGGAUGCCAGUGGCAAUUUAGAAAAAGAGAAAUACAACAAGCAAAUAGAUAUAUGAAAAAUAAACAUUAUAAGCAUGCUAUAUGAUUUUUUAAGUGCAAAUUAAGCGACAAAGGGUAUGCACCAUUUAACACAUCUAUAGGGACUACUUGUGUUGAAACUUUAUAUGUGUUGAAACUUUAUAUAUGAGUUCCUUUAUAUGUGUUGAAACUUUAUAUGUGUUGAAACUUUAUAUACGAGUUCCUGGCUGGGAGGAGGAAGAGAGGCUUUUUGAGCAUUCUUGUGGUCUGUUGCUUGGAAUAUAAUUGAAAUAAAUCUUUGGGAGGGCUUUUUGGCAAUAUGAAUCAAAACCCUUGAAAAAGUACAUACUUUGACUCAGACAUUCUACAGUAGAAAUGCGUCCUAAGGAAAACGUAUGUUCUCUAAUAUUUAGAAAACUCAACACAGAAUUGUUUACAAAAUAUAGAAAAAUCCAGAAACAAUGUAAAAUGCCCCUCAAAAGGGAAUUGGAGAAGUAAUUUAAUGUCUGUCCAUAUAAUGGACUACUCUGACGAAAUUAACAAUUUUGUAAAAGUAUAUUUAUCUUAAAAAAGGAGAGAUGGUUAUUAUGUAUUUGUAGGCAGGAAAGCAUAAACAAUGUGUACAAGAUGGCCCCAUUUUAAUAAAAGUAUCUACAUGAGUCAUUUAGGAUGUAACUCAUAAGCAAUAGAAAAUUCACUUUAAACUCACUUCAACCAGCAAAUUUAUUUGUUCAUAUAAGUAGACACUCCAGAAGUAAGAUAGAUUUUAAUGUCAGCUGAAUUUAGCAGCUCAGAAAGCUCCUUAAAAACCCAGUUUCUUUUUAUAUCUCUUUUUUGCCUUCUGUAGCGCCUGCUUCGGCUGAAAGUUGGUUUGUGUCACGGAGGCAAGCUGGCCUCCAACAGCUUCCGGUUGUCCAACUGCAGAGAAGGGAGUGUUUCUCCCCAGGUCUCUGGCGGGAGCCCUACGCUUCCUUCUGACUGGACCACCUUGACUGUGUGGCAUUUCCAGAGGAAUGCUUUGUAUUGAUUGGCUUAGGUCUGGAUUGGGUAGUGGUUCCUAAAACAAACACUGUUGGCAAGAGCAUAAGAUUAUUGUAAUUUAGUUUAGCCAGAUCAGUCUCUAUAAUGGAGGUAGACAUGGGGUAAAUCCCAACAAAUCUGCACGGAUAUUCUACAAUCGUGUGAAGUGGAAUGGAUGUUGAAAAGCUCACCCUCACCGCAGGAAACAGCCCGGAAGGAUGUAUACCAACGGCAGUUAUCUUCAAGUGGAAUUAUGGGGGAUUUUCAUUUCUCUUAUUUAUGCCUGUUAUUUUACAUUUUUUCUUUUUUUUUUUUUGCUAAUUUUACAUUUUUGACAACAAACAUAUUACUUGAAAAAGUUUAAAAAGAAACGAAGGCUAUAAAUACGAGAAAAAGUUGGUGUAUAACACUUGCGAUGUAAUUAACAGAUUGAGAGACUUAAAGCAGACAUGUUGGCAAACAGGAAAUCUGAAUUUUCAGAACGGCACCAACUGUGCCUUGGAGAAGCUUCUGACUGCCUUUCUCUUGCUUCUGUAUGAAACUGUGGUCAUUUCUAUAGCUGUACCAUGAGAUUUUUGAAGGCUAGCCUGGCCUAAAACCAUUGGUUCCAGGGGCUUGCGUCUUUCCCUCGUGGUGGGGUGACGAAACUUUUUAGCUCUCUCUAGAGACAUUUUCACUUGUCAGCUUGAAACACCAUGAAGUGGGUCCCAACUCCAGAAGAGGUGCAGAAGGGGAAGCACUGGCCUCAGGUUCCUCUACUUCUUCCUUGGACAGAAGGAGCAGGGUGUUCUUUCAAGAAGUGGCUAGCACAAAAAGUCCCCGCUUCCUCUGAGAGCCCGCAGCUCUCGGGAAUCACAGUGUGAAACUGGCUGUCGUCUCAGGGAAGGGGCUCUGGGCCUGAGGCUCAGGAGCCUGGGAGAAUGUGAAGUGAGGCACUUCCCUUGACUCACUUCUGUUAGAUGCUGGGUAUUGGGGGUUCUUCUCAGGAUUCGUGGAGAAACUCCUGCUACUCUUCCGCAUACUUUUUUCCUGGAGAAGAGAACUCAGUUUCCCGCUGGCAGGAAAGACUUCCACUCGUAAUGUAAGGUGAGGCGUUCUCAUGUCUGGGCAUCUCGUUUCUCACUUUUAUUUCUGCUUGGCAUUGACCCUCAGCUCUGCAUUUUCGGAAACUUGAUUUUAUCUGCACAUGCCCUUCUGGAAUUAUCCCAUUGUGAUGAUAAGCAAUACACUGACAUUUUGGUUUCAUGAUGAGAACUAAGCCCAUAGGAUGGAAAUGCUCCAGUUUGAGUGGUUGAGGCACCCUGGUCUCAGUAGGAGAAUACCUGUGGGUGAAGAAAUGAGGCCCGAAAGUGGAUAUUGGAGGGUCUUAAGGCGCCAUUCUGUGUUUCUCCUAGUGAUGUCAUCUAACCUCCACCAGAAUGUAAAUUUCACUCAGGGAAGGACCUUGUCUGUCUUCUUCAAAUUUGCAUCCACCUCAUCUAGAACAGUUGAAGGUACUCAACUGGCUGUUGAGUACUAAGAGGCUGGCUAGCUGUAUGGAUGAAUGUUUCUUAUUUUUUAGAGUCACUGUCCCAUGAGAAGUUUUCCUUGACUCUUUUAGGAAGAUUAGACUCCCUCGUCUGGUUUCCAUGGCGCUUGGAAUUAAGCACUUAAAUUACAGAAUCGAAACUAUUUGCUUGCUCAUCUAUCUUCCCUAAAAGAUUGCGGGCUCCACAAAUGCAGGGAUCCUGCCUUAUUUUUCCAUUUAACUAACUAUAGAUACUUCAGAGUAGUCUAGCUCAUAGCAGAAUAAAAUAAUAACACUGUGGCAACCUCAUGAGUAUCUCUCAGCUUAUGGGAUAUGCUUAUUAAGCAGAUCAGGAUAUUGCAUUACUCGGGACCCCUUUGCUUUUUCAAUGGUGAUGCAUUAUUAACUUCUUACUCUUUGCUUUUCAUUGCUUCCAAGGGAACAAACAUCCUUCUAUUUUCAGCUGCUAUUUCAAUACCUUUCUGUUGAACCUACAAAUACACUGAAUGGUUUCCAUAGAUUACAUUUCCAGGAUCAAACUAGUCACCUCCUGAUGUGGUACAAAGAGACACCUUACCCUCACAAGCAAACCAUCUCUAAGUCUUAAAAUAGCAUGCAUUAAUACCGUCUAGAGACAGCGCAUCCCUCUUUGGUUAUAUGGAUUCUUACUUCUCUGCUCACACAAACUAAAGUCCCCAAACUGGUCCCCACUCACUUUUGGCUCAUCCCUUUUAUCACCUAUGGUCCUCUGUCUGGAGACUGCACUUCCUCUCGUUAGUGCACUUGACCAGGUCACAUUUCCUUUGGGGUCAGGUGGGGAUUUGCAUGGUACUACUCUGACCACUCUGAAACAGCAAAUGUCCUCAUGCGGCUCCAGUCCUGGAUCGUCCAGAAAUAAUAUUCGAUGUUUUGAGACCAGACAUUUAGGAAGUCAAAACAUAGACUAAAUGGCAACCACACAUUUAAGAUCAGGGUAGGCUGAAAGUCUGAAACGGGGUAGGUGCUCAGGUUAGGUGAAAUUGGCGAUAACCAGAGACUCAUGAUAUAAGCCUGAUUCGUGGACUUUGCUACAGCCAAGGGUUCCAUAUCUGCUUUCAGUUUGUGGGAGGCUGAGCUCAUGGAUGUGGAUGGUUUAAGUGGCCAAGGAGGUGGUGAAAAAGAAGGCAGGAAAUUUAUAGUUCUUUGGGAAGGUUCUCGGAGUAUGGGAGCAAAUCUCAAGGCCAGAAUGACACAGAUGUACAUUUGUGGGGUACACACCGCUGGGAGAUGUACAUCAGCCAUUGGUCUCCUAUCUAAAGCCCACCCUCAUCUCCCAGGAGGCCUUGCAUCCUGCGCUUGUGUUGUCGCCUGGAUCCAUCCAGUUGUCUUGCACACUGAGAAUCCCUGUGGUGACUGGUCAUUAUUCUUUGAGGGGGCAGCUUCAUUAUAUGUCUGCAUUCUGUUGGCUUUGAAAGUCAUUUGGGUCAAAACCAGAAGUUGGCCAGUAUGUAGGCCUAGCUAUCUAUACCUCUCAAACACACCUUUCCUUAAAUUCGAUUAUUUCAUGGCCGUUUGCCUUCCGCGUGCAUCAUUUACAAGUUAGCCUUUAUCAUUGGUCCCCAUUUCCUAUCCACAGUGCCAGCCUUUUUUGCCCAGUUGUGGUUUUCUAGAGGGCUUCUUUAUUCUGUCUUCUUCCGUCAGCCUUACUAAACUUUCUGGUAUUCUUGCUCUUUCCAGUGAGUUCCUCCUGCUAGCCCCAUGUCUCUACCGUCCGGGAUUCAUCUCAUCAUUUCCUGCCCUGGUUUUUCAUGCAAGAAAAAGAAUACCUUCCCCAGAUCCUCUUCUCGGGAAAAGGAGAAGAAAAACACACAUCUGUCUAACCAAAGGUUUGUGGUUUUUCGUAAGUUUUCUCCAAUUCAAAAUGUGUGAAAUUGACCUAUGUUUUUGCCAUCUCUCUCAAACACUACACCAGUGUGCAUACCUGCUCUUACUUCCAAACUCGUGAAGUAAAUCUCUUGAGGACAAAGACCAUAUCUCAUUCUUCUCUGCAAGCUCAGCAUUUAGCACAGUGCCUGUUACAAGGUGGGUACACAAUACAUGUUUAUUGAAUGAAUGAAUGAGUGAGUGAACAUAUAAGUGGAGAAAAUAGGACAUGGGUGUGAAUUUUAAAAUUCAGAUUAUAAAUUUUUUUGAUCAUUCAAAAGUGGUUGAAUGAUAACAUAGCUGGGGUUUUUGACAUUAAUAGUUUUCUUUGUCACCAAUAACUUAGAAUGUAAUUCCUGUUGAAAAAUACAAAAUAUAAUUACAGAUCAUGUUUGCAAAAUAACACUGAUAACAAUGAUAUUUCUUUAUUUGGGAAUAAGUCUAUUAAAUAAACAGAUCAAUAUAGUGGUCAUAUUUUAAGAUUAUCUCAAGGAUAAAUAUUGAAAUAGCCAUUUGCUCUAUAAAUAUGAUUCAAAAUUCUAUGCCACUCCUAAAAGGCAAAUAUAAAUGCUAGUGAAAAUAAGCAAGAGCAUUAAUAACUUGGUAUAAGUGGACUUUAAUACGGAAAAAUGUGAGUCCAUUCAUAUGGUAAUAGAUUUCACUGUGACCCGUGGGCUUAUAUCCCUGCCAAAGAAACUCUGUAAAUAUAUACGCUUCUGAAAACGGAGAGAAAUCAAUUAUAUAAUAAUUAAGUAAAAGAUAAAGUUAAUAACUAUGUGCUAAGUAAAAGUUUUCAGAGAAGGCCAUGGUUAAGGCAUUCCACGGGUUUUACUUUCAAUUAUUUAAAUCAUAGUUUUCAGGUCUAGAGAGUCGACUUUGUAUGAUGUAUAUAAUCAAGCAUAAUAUAUAUUUUACUCAAAGAUACCUAAUACAGGUAAGAGAAUUUGACAAGUAAUGUAUAUUAUAUGUGGAUUUCAAAACUAAGGGAGUUCUUUUCAUCAGUGAAACAAAUCAUAGCAUGUAAAAAAGGGUAGUAAGAAUAGCUAUAAUACAAUUGGAGCUUAGUUGGGGGAAAUGGGAUUAAACCUGACAGAAAGUUUACAGCAAUCCCCAAUGCUGAGUCAGAGAGAGAAAGCCAAAUUGCUUCACGGAAUCUGCUGAUUCCAGCUUUGCCGAGAUCGUACCAAGAAAACAUCUGCUUUAUGGCUAAAGCCAGGUGUGGUCUGUUGAGGCAGAAAGGGUAUGUCCCUGAUGCUUGGGAUGGGCCAACUCUUUGUGCAACGAAGCAAACCCAUUGGCUGUGGUGUGGAGUAUUGCCUACCAGCAGAACACAGAAUUCACUAUCUUGGCAGCUGUUGUUGAUCUGUAAGCUUUAAUAAUGUUGAAGUGAUACGCAGGUAAUUAAUUCUUGAAUAGCUUGGUAAUUUCAAUAAUCCACCAGUAAAAUAGCUUCAGUGGGUUUCAAAACUAGAUGCAACUCGAUAGAGACAAACCAACAGACCGAAGACAAAAUCCUCUCAGAGUCUGGGAAAUGGUAUCAGCAGUGAAUCACAUGCUUAGCAACAUACAGAUUACUGUUUGCUUUUUGUGGUUUAUAGACAUCAUACUGACCUUUGGCAUCUGGAGAGAUAGGGAGGAAGGGAGAAAAAUACCGUCUGCUUACUGCCUGCCCGGUUACCGGCAGGGGCUCAGGACCACGGAAGCUCCAUGGUGUCAGACACCUGGCGUGUUUUACUGUGCUGUCUCCACCGAUUAGAUCCGUGUUGGUGGGCCCACAUAGACGGGUUCACCCUGCUACCUGAAAGCCCAGUGUUCCUAUGAAACCUUUCGGAAACCAGAACGACAUCAAGCGAAGAAGCAAUUACCAUUAAUUUAUAUGGAGAAACUUGUAAGCGUUCCCAGACCCCCCAAAUUACCUCUCGUAGACUUUUCUGGUACCACAGGACACAUCUUGCUAAUGGAUACACAAAAUAAAUCGAGGUAAAACUCAUAGACACAGCUCAAAACUCUGGCAGCCUGAAGACGAGAUGCUGAGCACGGUUCCGGGGAAGCAGGUGGUGGGGCCGCUCUCGCUGCUCGGGACGCGUGCUGCCUCUAUCGUGGCUCCCUGCAAAACACACGCGGGAUGCUAUGGUGGCUUUUUGCCUUUUUUCUUUUUUUGUAAAAACAAAAAUCCUCUUUAUUUCUUGCAGUUAGUAAAAACAGGAACUGACGUAGAUCUUUCUCAAAAGCAAAGCAGUGAAACACGACCUUUCGAAAGGUGGAUGAUACCUAUAGCUGGAAUUCACCAACUGAUAGAAUAGAUGUCUGUCGGCUGGGACUGCCACUUUUGUUCUUGGUUAGUCCCCUGCCAAUGCAGAGGGCUCCUUCCAAGCAGAACUGAAUGGCUCUGCUUUUAGCCAGUGGACCAUAAUUUUGUAUAAACUCAUUACUUAAGUUUACAUUAAGAUUCACGGAAAAUGUCAUUACAUGUGGUCUUCUUAGAGUUAGUAAUGCACAAUCCUUUUCUGAAAUCCUAGAAUGGCUCCUAUGUCUAUUUCUAUCUGCAGAUAUAUAUGGGACGGCGAAAUGUGUCCUUAAAUUGUGUCCUUUUUGUUAUCGCGGUGACUGUAAUGUUAGAUCACACGCUUACUAUUAUUUAGGUUAUAAAAUGAAAAGUGCUUUGUCACCAUUCUUACGAGCUACCUUCUUUUCAAUACUUCAUUAUUUAAUAUUUAUUUAUAUUCCAGGUUUGGGGGAAUUUUUUUCACCCUACCCUUGUUUGUGAGCAGCCUGGUGUUUCAAAAAUCUCAAGUAAACAUGUGUGUGCACGUUGUUUUGCAAGAUGUGUUUUUACGCAUUAAAUAGUUUAGAAAAGGCCAAGUUUCGAUUAAAACCAGGUGGCAGGUCUCUGGAUUAAUGAAUCCUGUGAGUACUUCAAAGAAUAUCUGUGCAUCAAAAUUGUGGCCAGAACAAAACUGGGGAGGGAAGCUAGAGAAUUUCCCUUUAUAUGUGAAAAGGCAAGUUCAAAGUUAAAAAGUUAACUGCCUAGAAAAGCACUCAGAAAAACGUGUGAUUUCUCUGCCUUCAGAGGUCACAGGAUACACCUUCAGAGGCUUUGUGAUUUCAUCCAGUUCCCACGUCACCUCCAGAGCUGUUCUCAGAUGAUUAACAGUCAUAGCUAAUAUUUACUAAGUGCUUGUCCUUGACGCCGAGUGACUGGUGCUGAGUAGACACCGGUCUCCUCCCUUCCUUCCUGCCAGCUUUGAGGAGAAUAACAGUGGAGAUCACCAAAGCUUCCCAGACUGGAGUGGUAUUCUUAAAAUACCAGAGAAGUAAGGCCACAAGGGGAAGACUAAACGUUUAACGUGGGGAGGGCGUGUCUAUCGUGGGAGAGGAGACGUUCUGAUCAUCCGGGGAGGGUUCUAAGAGCUAUUCUGGAAGUAUCCACUUCAUCUUAUUGGCCUUCUGCCAGCAGCUACAGAGCACAUGAAAUCAUUCCUGAAGUCUGUUCUCAGCUGAUGAGUCCUUUCUGCUGGUGGUAAGUCAGAUACUGGCCCUAACCUUGGCAUCCACUGCCUGACUGACCGCGAGGCCCAGGAAGGAACAGCCCUCCUCCCUCUUAGACGGCAUAGGUUCUGGGGGUGGGGAGAGUCUGGAGAGACCCGUGGGAAGACCUUCUCAACUACCUGGAAAUAAGGUGGGAGCCGGGAGCUGCUCUGCCCCGUGGAAUCAGUCUAUUCGGGCUGCCAAGACAAAAUACCGCAGACGGGGUGACUUAAACAACAGAGACUUAAUUUCUCACAGUUUUGGAGGCUGGGAGUCCAAGAUCCAGGUGCUGGCAGGGUUGAUUUUCUCUGAGGUCUCUCUCCUUGGAUUACAGAUGACUGUCUUCUUGACGCCUCUUUACAAGGUCUUUUCUCUGUGCACACGCAUCUGGACGCUCUCUGGGUUUCCUAAUCUCCUUUUCUUUUCUUUUCUUUUUUUUCUAACUUGAUUUAUUUUGGGGGAGAGCGCAAGUAGGGGAGGGGCACAGAGAGGGGGACAGAGGAUCCGAAGCAGGCUCUGUGCUGACAGCGGUGAGCCCGAUGCGGGACUCGAACCCACGGACCUCGAGAUCAUGACCUGAACCGAAGUCAGAUGGAUGCUCAACCUACUGAGCCACCCAGUCCCCUAAUCUCCUUUUCUUACAGGGACACAAGGGCACCAAUCAGAUGAAAUCACAGCCCACCCUCCCGCCCUCAUUCUAACGUAAUUCCCUCUUUAAAGACCCAGUCUCCAGAUGCAGAUACUGGAGGUUCUGGAGGUUAGGGCUUCGACAUAUGAACUUGAGCGGGACACAAUUUGGAUCACAACACCUGCUAAGUUUUCUUUUUUUCUCUUUUUACAAAAGAAUUCAACCCACCCGCACCAGUACCGUUAGGAAAAACCUUAACAAAUGACAUUAACAAAAUGUCGUCUCAGAAAUCAGGAGAAUUGGGUUUGAAGCCAGAUUUCACCAUUAAUCGGCAACUCCCUGAGAGGUGUGUGGAGCCCCUCACAACUUUUAUGUAUGUGGAGUCUUUCCCUGACGUGGGGAGCGGGGUCGGGGGGGGGGGAAUCGCCUGGCCCAGUGGCUUAGAGAUCACACCUGCAGGGGGGACUGCCUGCUCCAAGCUCCAGUGUCCCUGUCACCAGCUAAUUAACCCUGGCUGAGUUCCCUCCUGCCUCUAUCUCUCAGCUUUCUCUUCCGAAAAAUGCAAAUAAUAAUUGUGCCACCUUCCUGGGCUGGUGUGCUGAUGGAAGGAGGCAUCUCUCACCAGAGCGGUCUCGUAGUGAGUAAUCAUCGCGAGUUAGCCACUGUUCCAGUUUGUGUCGUUACCCGUUCCUUAUCUCCCUUACAGGCCCUUCCCCCACGUUAGCACACAUCCGAUGCUCCCUUGGUUUUCUUCGGAAGCGGGGUGUCUGUUGAGGAAUGCUCAUCUUGGGUCCUCUGAACCUACCAAGUAUUGUCCCACCUUGGCUCCUGCAGAGGUGAGGGGAAGGGGGAGAUCCCGUAGCGGGGAGUGCCCCAGCGCUCGUGAUGAGGACAAGGCAGGCAGUGGCCCUCCGUGGGAGGAAUCUGUCUCCCUUGACUCUGCUGCUGACGAGGAUGGGGGCACAAAACAGAGAGGACAAAUGUGCUGCCCCAAGUUCAUUAGCUCCCUGGAGAAAUGGCUUCACGUACACGUGCUGUUGUGGAGGCACUGCCACCAUCUUUUCCUGCCGAUACAAAGAUGAACAAAGACCAACCAAAUGAGAAAGACCGAGGCCAUCCACUCAGAAUUUGCUAGAGCGAGGGGGACAGCCACCGUCGCUGCCUCGCAGCAGAGCCUCAAAGGCAGGCAGAGGAGUAGAGGGGAGCCUACGGGGAACAUGGGGAGGCUUAUGGGCCUGCCCAGAUGGGAGCCUGGGGCCUGGAGAACCUGGAGGUGGGCUAACUAGAAGUGGGUGUCUAUGUGACUGUUCGGGAGGACGUACGUGGCUCUCUCUGGUUGGUCCUAAGUUGGAAGCAGGGACAAAAAUCAGGGACGCUGUCAGUGAUUAAUCGAGUCCUGGCCAUGUGGGGCCAGUUGUUACGGAGGCUGUUGAUUGGCUGGCUGGACCGUCACAAGAGACAGCAGGUUGCCCCCCCUGGGCUGGUGACUGUGGAGGACGGCUUGGUUUCCUGGCAGGUGGCUGCGGGUUGUGGAUCAGAGUUUGAUUUUUAAAUAUGGGUCGGCCUUAUCCGUUGGUAUAUUCCGUCUCUCACCGAGGGCAGCACGUCGUCCUCAGGGGGUUGCCCCAAGCAGCGUUCUUAGGAUGAGACCAGCUGCUUCCCUGACGUUCUUAGGUGCCCACGCAGGUGUCUGCUUCCCACAGGAUUUUGGCAGGGAGUGGUGGUGCCUGUUUUUUGCGGGGCAGUUGUGGCCAGAAUGUAACUCUCUGCUGAAAUUUGUUAGCCUCCAGGGUUGUCUUUCAGAGCUGAAGCCAAAGGAACAUUUGGGGCCAGAAGAAAACAGGUAUUCCCAUUUUACGAUUUCGGAAGAAACACGCUCUAGGAAUUAUCCAUAAGUGGAGGUCGUGCGUAUAGAUGAGGAUUUAUUUGUUGCCAUGAGCUCUUGAUAUGCAAAUAUACCUCUGCGAGGGAAUAUGAACUUGGAGACUGGGAGCGUCUGUCUGGCUGCAUGAUCCUGAAUAAAUUACUCAUCUUUCUGAGCUCUCAUAAAUAAAUGAAAGGCAAUAAAACUUGCCCUCGUUGAUUUUGCAGAUUUGCAACGUUCCUGUCUAUAAAAAGAGUUUUAAGCCACCUGCUGUCAUAGCAGCGUCUUCACUGUGCACAUUUGUCCUUUGCCGGGCUCCUGCUCGUCAGAGCUCCUAUAAGACACCACUAUGCAAGCACGGGUGGGCAUCCCAUGUUGCCUCUUAGCCUGUGGCAUGUGCUACUUCUAAUUCUGAUCAUGUAAGUCUCCUCAUUGCCUACGAAGUGAAGUUUAACCUUCGGAAAGGUAUCGAGGCCCUCGAAAACUGGUCCUGGACUUUGUUCUCUGAAUAAGCCUCCACUCCACCAAAUUCAAUCUGCUCAUGGUUCCCACCUUGGCUUUUGCUGCUUUCUGUUGGCUACAAUCUGCACUUCUCCUCGUCUCUAUCCACCUUUGCCCCUGCUUUGCUCUAGUUUUCAACCUGGAAAGGCUGGAUUCAAGUCUCACCUCUUCCAAUGAGCUUUCUCUCACUGCCUCUGUGACCCCUUCUAUUCUGAACAACGUCCCCCUGCUCCCCCCCCCGCCCCGCCCCCGCAAGAGACACCCAACCUUCUUACUCAUUUGGCAAAUGAGUGAAACGACACAUGAUGUUUCUGGUUAUGACUACCCAGUUAUAUUGUAUUCUGCCUCUUCCCCUGGGUGAGAAGCUUCUGUAUGUCAGCACCUGUGUUUUACCACCUGUAACCUCACUGUUUUCCAUUGUAUUGGAUAUUCAUUGUAUGUUUCGACGCACAAGGAAGAUUGUGGAGUAUAAUGAUGUGACAUCGUGCCGCGUCGAUCAGAGUGUUAAACGUAUUGGAAAACUACAGAAGCUAGUUCUUCCUUGCUCUCAAUAGUAAACAGUUCCCUGAAACCGUAUCAGAUCUGGAGGGAGAGGGGUUUAUUAUAGCUGCAGCUACAGUCAUUCAGGUGGAAAAAAGGAGGUUGUACAAUUUUUUUUCCAAAGGAAGUACAAUGAGAGUCACUCAGGCUCUGUGUAGGGUUUCAAGUCUUAGAACACAGCUAGGCCAAGCCCCGCCCGUUGCUAUUGGGGAGGUGCUAUCAGAUGAACUAGACAGGUGUGCAGGGGCCGAUGGGGGGCAAUGCAGGUGCAAGGUAGUCCUGGUGAGCAGAAAUGAGGAAUCCAACAGGGAAGCUACAGAGAAGAUGAGGAUUCUGGGCAGAAUGAGGGGUGAGAGCAAGAUUGAAUAAAGGGGGGGCGGGUGCAUAGCCCAUUAGCUAGGUCAAACCCGGCAACAAUGAGCCCAGGAGUGGGCAUUGUUGGGAGGCCCAGACGGACCAUAGAAGAGCCUGGCAGGACUGACCCCCCUAAUACUGGGACUCAGAGGCUGGGUUUUAGAUCCUGGGAGGGGUCUAGACCUGUCCUAGAGAGCUGGUGAUUCUAUUCAAGGCUCAGCCAUGGGGAAUCAGAUGAGGACAUUCUGCAUCGAGGACAGGGCCAAUCUUGUCUCAAAAAUAAGGAAAAGUCCCAGAUAAGAGCUGGCUGCUGUGGAAAUGAGUGAAGAUGACCUUGUGGACAGAGAGAAAGGAUGUGGAGUUUGCAAUCCUAUGCGGCUGUGAUGUCAGGAACGAAGGACCAGAGAAGGGAAGCGACUUUAGUGUCCAAAACCCCACUCCUCAUUGGCAGCAGACCUAGGUUUAAAGCCCAGUUCUUGUGAUUCCGCCUGGUGGGGUAGAGUGUUCUAACUUUGCCCCAUCUCCACUGGAGCCCUCGGUGUCCGUGGUGGUGCCCUGAGGACAGUUACAGGAAUGUGCUCUGGGAGAGAGCAAUGAGGAGGCAUUUAAUGCGGGCAGAUAUGCAUUUUUCUAUCGAUUGUUGAAGGGUUCUGGUGUAAGAUUUUGACCGAAAAAGCUGUAGCUAAAAGAAAGCUUGAUGAUGAGUUUGACAAUGACAAUGACCAUUUCAAUUUCUUUGUAUUAAGACUUUUUUUAAUGUUUAUUUAUUUUUGAGAGAGAAAGCGCAAGCAUGAACGGGGGAGAACCAGAGAGAGACACACACACAGAAUCUGAAGCAGGCCCCGGGCUCUGAGCUGUCAACACAGAGCCCGAUGUGGGGCUUGAACUCACAAACUGCGAGAUCAUGACCUGAGCCAAAGUCCAGUGCUCAACCGACUGAGCCACUCAGGCUCCCCUGACCAUUACAAUUUCUAUUCCUCUGUGGAGAGCCGGGGAGUAGAGAAAUAAAUGCCUGGAGUUUGGCCACACGGCAAUGGCACAAAAAUCCAUCCCAGCAGGGGAAAUUCUCCACAAAGGGUGACAACGCAAUAUGCGAGGGAAAAUGGUGCCUUUGGCAGGGAUUGCAUAAGGAGCCAUGGCAUCUUAGAUUCUCAGCAGCUUGCGGUAGCUGUCUCCAUGGCGACGUGCCCUUUAGGAAAUCAAUGUAAUAUACUGUGCCUCUUUAAAGUCUACUUUAUAUACUUACCACGCGAGGGGCUUAUAUAAGGGAAUGGAAACCCAUUUAAGCUAGCUCAAAUAAUAGAGGGGUGUGUUAUAUUUUUAGGACCCGAGGACAGAAAAUGCAGAGCAACCUCAAUGGAAUCAGAAAUUCAGGAACCCAGGGGCACCUGGGUGGCUUAGUUAAACGUCCAACUUUGGCUCCGGUCAUGAGCUUGGAGUUCAUUGCUUGGAGUUCAAGCCCCACGUCGGGCUCUCUGCUGUCAGCUCAGAGCUUGGAGUCUUCUUUGGAUCCUCAGUCUUCCUCUCUCUCUUCCCCUCCCCCACUUUCUCUCUCAACAAUAAAGAAAUAAACAUUUAAAGAAAAGAAAUCCGGGAGCCCAUGCUGUUCUCUUUGUCUUGCGAGGGCCUUUGUAGACUCUCAGGGACCUUGUCGCUCCCUCUGCUCUCCUCUUGCCCCUCGCUGUCACUUUCUUCACUCACCCACAUUCCACCAUUACUGGCAGGCCAAUGACAUGACAUCAUACUUGGGCCACAUUCUCUGUGAGGACUUUGCAGUUGGAUGUUUAAGAGGCAGACACCAGUGGAUUCAGCACCGUCUCCGGAAUAAUUCUCCCUGCGUCAGAUAGCUAUCCCUAGUUCCACAAAACACUGAGGUGGUGGGGAAGUAAGGAAAGCUAGUAGCGGGGAGGCAACAGUUGGCAUCUCUGCCAUAGGCUUUCAGAGACAGAGAUCCAGAAAUUUGGGGGUUCCCCAGGCUGUGGCACAGUGGGCUGUUCACUGCUGUGCAGGCUUGAGAAGAUUCCAUGAGGCUAUUACACACAUCUUAUCAUUUCAGUGGCCACAGUUCCUCAAUAAUCCUAAGGUCCCAGCACCUUCCUGGAUGGAUGGUCUUCCAGCUGAACCACAGAAAUGGUAUUUCUACAAAUGGGGUCCAGUUGGGUUGGUCACAUGACAUUGACCCAAGAAGAACUCGGAACAUGCAUUUGACGUUGGAUUUCUUUUGAAGUUUAUUUAUUUUGAGAGAGAGAGAGAGAGAGAGAGAAAGAGGGCUCAGGCAACUGGGGGAGGGGUAGAGAGAGAGGGAGAGAGAGAAUCCCAAGCAGGCUCUGUGCUGUCAAUGCAGAGCCUGAUGUGGGUCUUGAUCUCACCACGAGAUCAGGACCUGAGCUAAAAUAAAGAGUCUGACAUUUAACCCACUGAGCCGCCCAGGUGCCCUUCUCCCCCAGCCUCCCCCUGCCUUUUUUUUAAAGUGACCUUGCAUUUGACAUGAACUUCCUUGUAGUGGUUGAGAGAAUGGGUGCUGGCGUUGUACUCUGAAAUUCAAAUCGUGGCCCCUCUCCCCAAUAACUAUAUGGCCCUGAGUAGGUUAGUUAGCCUCCUUAAGUCCGUUUCCCCAUUUGCAAAAAAGUGCAUAAUAAAACCACUCGGUGGAACAUAAACCAUACCCCAGGGUUAGAACAAUAUGCUCUAAAAACAGUUUUGAUCCCUAGAAAGUACUGGGUAAAUGUCACCGAUGAUUGCUAUCAUUUUUGUUAAUAUCUUUGUCAUGUCUUAUGGACCCAAAUGAAUUCCAGCCUCUGCAUCAAUAGCUUCCUCACAGUCUUUACAGCUCUUGCGCUAAUGCAUUCCCCAGACCUUUGCAUGUGCUGUUAACUAGUACUUGGUGAUUAAUCAACUGAGUUUUACACUGUUGUGCUUUGUGGCUCCAAGUUGAAAAAGUUCUCACAAUCAAAGAUGGAAAAGGAUGCACAGAAGGUGGAACCUUGACCUGAUUUUGAGCAAUUUGCUGAGUACUGAGAGUCCACCUUUCAGACCUUCCUUUUGGAUGGUUUGAGUAUGUGCCCCUCUCCUGAGAUAAAGAGAAGACCCCCAAAUGAUUUCUCUAGUUUCUUUUUUUUUUUAAUUUUUAAAAAUGUUUAUUUAUUUCUGAGACAGAGAGAGACAGAGGAUGAGUGAGGGAGGGGCAGAGAGCGAGGUAAAGACACAGAAUCUGAAGCAGGCUCCAGGCUCCGAGCUGUCAGCACAGAUGCGGGGCUUGAACUCACGGACCGCAAGGUCAUGACCUGAGCCAAAGUAGGACGCUCAACCAACUGAGCCACCCAGCCGCCUCUGAUUUCUCUAGUUUCUUUGGUUCAUGUCCAUACAUCUAAAAUUUUCAUCCUCUGUACCAAAAAACGUGCAAUGUGUUCCUUGAGAUUUACAAGGUCACAGAGUUGGAAAACCACCCAAGAUGCUUUGUGAUUCACUCUUUCUGGUGCUUUAAUCCCUCAGGAGCCAAGUUGCCCUGAAGAUCAUGAACUUGUCUUCUGACCACUGCAACAUAUCGGAUUGGCUGAGGCUGGAAGCAACAGUGAAGGCCUCUGUGUAUGUGGUGGCCUUCUUCUUUGCCACAUUCGUCACCGUCGUCAUCAUCACAAUAGUGUUACAGAAUUCGAAGCUGAGGAAAGAGGUCCGACACAUCCUCCUGUGCCACCAUCUGCUAUGCAUCUCCUCCUACUGUGGCCUCGGGGUGGUUUUCCAAGGGAUGCGGGCUCUGCUGGCCAACAGCCCCGUGCUGGUGUGCUGGGUGGUAUUUGGGGUCCAGCUAAGUGUUGGAGAAGGGAUCCUCUUUACGCUGGCCUUGAUGGCGGUCAACACUUACCUGGCUGUUUGCUGGCCUUUGAAAUCUCUGUCCUUUGUAGAUUCGGUUAAGUACAGGAUCUUGGCUGCGUCUUGGAUAAUCAUUAUAUUCAAGAAUGUUUGCUUAUUCCUCAUAGAAAGCGCUAACCCCCCUCGAGUUGCUGUUUUUAAAUCUGAACCCCUGUGCCCUGUGAUCUUGAAUGGCCCUCCUGCCAGAGCCGUUGGCAUGGUUUUCCUUUUCUUUCUUCUGUCCAUCAUUCUUACAAGUUACUUUCUGAUCUACCGAGAAGGCAAACGGGCUGGCCAUUUUAACAGAUCAAAUAUCAAAGCAAAAAAAACAGUCCUUAUUCAUUUAGUGCAGAUGAGUUUGCAUGUAAUACCAAUCCUGAUAUUCAUAGGUUUGGGAAAGAUGUGUGGGGUGUUUUUCUUUGCUUUAAACCUGGUACUUUUUGGAGUCUUUGCAUUUGCACAGUGUCUUAACCCCCUGAUCUAUGGGCUCUGGAACAGAGAGCUGCAAAGCGGAUUAUACCACUGGAUGUGCUGUCAGCUGUGGUGUGGUCACAUUAUGAACGACAGAGAGCCAGUUUAAUCUGGAACUCAGCCACUUGGAAUCAAUGACUCUAGCCCUAGCGGACCAUCAGCCAGGCUUGAGGACUUGCCUUUUACGCAACCUAAAAUUGGUGCCUUGGUUUGAUUCUGGAAGCGAUAGGAGUAAGUCAGAGCUAUUCAUCUGGCUUGCAAACUUCGUUGCUGUGUGCGCUGAACUGGCCUCACGGAAAUCGUUUUAUAUCUUUAAUUCUAAACCCAGAUCAACAUUUUUGGCGGCAUGCCCUACUGUGUUUCAGUAGUCAGGCAGCUUUUGAGAACGCACUUGUUUUUAGAAAUGGAGAAACAGUCCAUGGUUGAUAGGAAGAGAAGUUUGGCUGUUCCUCAGUUAGGGAUAGGCUUCGCUGCAUGUAGUAACAAAGCAGAAACCAAAUAACAGUGAUUUUGUAAAGUUUGAGAUUUUUUUUUCUGAUGUAAAAGAAAUCUGGAGGUAGACAAUGCAGUCUUAUAUCACAGCUCUGCAAGCAACAGGUUCAUUCUGUUCUACUCUGACAUGCUUAUUAUGCUACCUCAUGGCCCAAAAUGGCUGUUAAUGUUCCUGUCAUCAUGUUCAUGCUCCAGCCAACAGGAAGGAGUAAGGGGCAAAGGAAGGUCUAUGCUCUCUUUUUUUUAAAAAAAAAUUUUCAAUGUUUAUUUGUUUUUGAGACAGAGAGAGAGAGAGAGAGCAGGGGAGGGGCAGAGAGAGAUGGAGACACAGAAUCUGAAACAGCCUCCAGGUUGAGCUUCAGCACAGAGCCUGACGCAGGGCUCGAACCCAUGAACCGUGAGAUCGUGAUCCGUGCCAAAAUUGGAAGUACAACCGACUGAGCCACCCAGGCGCCCCAUACCCUCCUUCUACAGACACUUUUUAGAAGUUACACAAAAUACUUUUUCUUCUAUCUAACUGGCCAAAAUUUACUCAUACGCCUAUGCCUGGCUUUAAGAGAGAAUGGGAAUGAAUUUUAGCUGGGUAGUAGAGUCCCUGGCUAAACAUUGGGGUUCUUGAUACUAAGACAGGAAGGAAGAAUGGCUAUUAGGAGGCAAAAUUAUUUCAGGGACCAUUUUCCUUUCAACCAAAUAAAGUAUAAAGAAAGAUAACGGAUGGGUUAUAAUCAUUACAAAACUAUACUCUGCCUUUCAAUGUGAUAUUUGGAGUUAACCAUUCAAGAUCCCAGAACACUUUAAUUGUAUAAUGUUAACAGUUCUCAAAGGGAACGGCAUUGGCAUCGGCAUCGAGAAGAACAUUGAGCUGCUUUAAACAUGGCAAUUAACUCAUGACUUGAACCUAAGCCAUUUUGAGGCAGCAGCACAAAACAAAGUCUUUCACAGGAGUUUACAUAUGAGAUUUCUUUAGAUGAAACAUCCACUUCUAAGCAAGUCAGGAUUCAGUUGUGGAAACAGGAAUCAUCACUGUAGGAUGGGAUUUAAUACAGGAAUUAGAUGCUUACAAAGUCUCUGGCAGGACUGGGGGAGGGGAAAUCAGGAGCCACCACUUGUUGGCGUCAAGAGAAAACCAUUGCAGGGGCGCCUGGGUGGCGCAGCCGGUGAAGCGUCCGACUUCAGCCAGGUCACGAUCUCGCGGUCCGUGAGUUCGAGCCCCGCGUCGGGCUCUGGGCUGCCGGCUCAGAGCCUGGAGCCUGCUUCCGAUUCUGUGUCUCCCUCUCUCUCUGCCCCUCCCCCGCUCAUGCUCUGUCUCUCUCUGUCUCAAAAAUAAAUAAACGUUAAAAAAAAAAAAAAAAAAAAUUUAAAAAAAAAAAAAAAAAAAAAAAAAAAAAAACANNNNNNNNNNNNNUUUAAUACAGGAAUUAGAUGCUUACAAAGUCUCUGGCAGGACUGGGGGAGGGGAAAUCAGGAGCCACCACUUGUUGGCGUCAAGAGAAAACCAUUGCAGCCGGGAUCUGGAGAUCAAGCAGCUGCUUCCACCACUGCCCCCUGCCCCCACCCGAGACCUCCCCUUAAUAUAGUGAAUUUCCAAAAGAAAGAGCAGCUGGCAGAUGGCCUCCACCUCCUUCCCUCUUUCAAAUCUCAAGUGAUUGUCUCUAACUGGUGGAACCCAUCUGGCCUCCAGACCCUAAGAGUAAAGAAGUCUGGGAAAUGUAGUUCCUAGUUUCACAGGAACAGGAAGUUACAGUACAGGAAGUUGUCCCCAAAUGGGGGUGGACCGAGAACUGAAAGAGUGCUUCCACGGGAUCCACCGUUAUGACAUUUAGUUUUAUUUACAGGUGAUAACAACAGAAGCAAAAUAGUUGCUCACUAUUGAGCAACUAUUAUGCUCCUGGCACAAUGCAAACGAUUAUAUAUAUAUAUAUAUAUAUAUAUAAUUUGACAUUAUAUAUAUAUAUAUAUAUAUUUAGGGGCACCUAAUAAUAUAUAUAUUUAUAUAUAUAUAUUAAAUGUCAAAUUCUCAUAACAGGUAUAUGUAGGUAUUAUUAUUCCUGAUUUACAAAUGAGAAAAGCUGAGGCUUAGAAAAGCCUUGCAGGAGCUUAGGUCAGGAACUUCCCUUUCAGAUUUGCCAUUUAUAUGACUCGGCCAAAGGUGAUGAUUUUAUUGCUGUUGAGAGGUGGACCAAUUGCUUGGGAAAUCUGGGCCUUAGUUCUCCACUUUGCUUUGGGUGUGGACACCUGCCUUCUGGAAAAGAGCCUCUUUUUCAUCCGUUGCUUUGACUACCCUCUCCCAUCCUGAGAUCCCCCACCCUGUUUUCAGAUUCUAGUGGCUUCUGUAUCAUGUCUAGACUCCAUUUUGGCUCCAACUCCUCCUUCUCUGGAUGUUCAGUCUGCCUUCUCUCUUCUUCCAUCCUCAACUCUGGGAUUUCAAAGCCUGAGCUUCUCUUCUGCAAUAUGCAAGUGUCUUCGGGGCAGCAGAGAUUGCCAUGGCUGAGUACCUUCGUGUCCUGGCACCCAACACAGUGCCUGGUAGAUGGCAGGCUCUUCACAAGUGAUGUAAUGGACUCAUGUGGUCAGUAAAACAUGGCCUUUUUAUAAACUCCCUCCCCACGAAACCCAAGCUGUCUCUUUGUUUUUGCUGAAAUAUUAAACAAUUUGGGAGCUGAGAGUGCAAUAAAAACUCAAAAAAGUUACCAAAGUUAGCUCAAUUAUAAGUCCUAGAUCUAAUAUACACAAAUUUAUUCUUAAAACUUUUCUUUUUUUCCCUCUUUUUGGGGGUAUUUUUUUUUUAUUGAAGUAUAGUAAACAUACAAUGUUAUAUUGUUUUUAGGUGUCCACUAUACUCGUUUGACAAUCCUACGCAUUAUCCAGUGCUCACCAUGCUAAGUGUUGUCACCAUCUGUCAUCAUAAAGCAAUAUUACAAUAUUAUUGACUAUAUUCUCUAUGCUGUCCUUUUCAUUUCUGUGUCUUACUUAUUUUAUAACUGGAAGUUUGUACCUUUUAAUCCCCUUCACCCGUUUCACCCAUUCCCUGACCCACCUCCCUCUGGCAACCACGUUUGUUCUCUGUAUUUAAGAGCCUGUUUGUUUUGUUUGUUUGUUUAUUUUGUUUUUUAGAUUCCCCAUAAUGAAAUCUAUUAAUCUUAAUAUGAGUGAAAUCUUAUUAAUCUUAAAACUUCUAAAACUAUUUUUUUUUUAAAUUUUGUUUACUGUUUAUUUUUGAGAGAGAGAGAGAGAGAGGCAUAGAGCACGAGCAGGGGUGGGGAGAGAAAGGGGGACACAGAGUCCAAAGCAGGCUCCGGGCUCCAAGCUGUCCGCACAGAGCCCAACGUGGGGCUCAAACUCAGGAACUGUGAGAUCAUGCCCUGAGCCAAAGUCAGACACUCAACUGAGUCACCCAGGUGCCCCAAAAACUAUUUUAUUAUAUAAAAAGGUGACUUUUACUUACAACAUUGUUAGAAAAGUAGUUUUAUACUUUCAAAUGCAAAUUACUAUUUUCAAAAUUAAAAAAAAUUGAGUUGGGAAUAUAUAGUACAAAACUCAAAAGGUUAAAAAUGACACUUGGAGAAAUGUAAGUUCUUCUCCUCCCUUUUUUUUUCCAGAUCCCCUGUUCUCUUCUAAGAGUCAACAACUGUUAUUAGCUUCUUGUGCUUUCCUUAAGAGGUGAUCUACAAAGAACUAAUUACUAAGAAUUUGUAAGGUCAUUUUGGUCUCAAUAUCCUGGUCUUGGAUUGUAAAGUUGUCUAAACUGGUUUUUAGAAUGAUAGUUGAGGUCAAAUGACAUCAGCAGUAAUCUUUUUCAUGAUGCAAAAAUCCUUUGCACCCAUUAGAGAAACUUAAACUUGGGUAAGAUGUGGAAGGGAAGGGGAGAGAGG
RNAcentral lists this long non-coding RNA (25810 nucleotides) under Lynx pardinus (Iberian lynx). The stretch from base 472 to 556 matches the Rfam family "tRNA". Lineage: Eukaryota; Metazoa; Chordata; Mammalia; Carnivora; Felidae. The record is from RNAcentral.